AUUGAACGCUGGCGGCAGGCUUAACACAUGCAAGUCGAGCGGGGGAGGGUAGCUUGCUACUGGACCUAGCGGCGGACGGGUGAGUAAUGCUUAGGAAUCUGCCUAUUAGUGGGGGACAACAUCUCGAAAGGGAUGCUAAUACCGCAUACGUCCUACGGGAGAAAGCAGGGGAUCUUCGGACCUUGCGCUAAUAGAUGAGCCUAAGUCGGAUUAGCUAGUUGGUGGGGUAAAGGCCUACCAAGGCGACGAUCUGUAGCGGGUCUGAGAGGAUGAGCCGCCACACUGGGACUGAGACACGGCCCGGACUCCUACGGGAGGCAGCAGUGGGGAAUAUUGGACAAUGGGGGGAACCCUGAUCUAGCCAUGCCGCGUGUGUGAAGAAGGCCUUAUGGUUGUAAAGCACUUUAAGCGAGGAGGAGGCUACUUUAGUUAAUACCUAGAGAUAGUGGACGUUACUCGCAGAAUAAGCACCGGCUAACUCUGUGCCAGCCGCCGCUGUAA
Molecule: ribosomal RNA, 501 nt
Filed under: uncultured bacterium
Lineage: Bacteria
Description: partial 16S ribosomal RNA
Rfam family: Bacterial small subunit ribosomal RNA
Source: RNAcentral